GUUUUGUAAAGGGGGCGGAGCUGCAGGGCUCAUGUGGAGGUGGUGAGAAAGCGGACAAGUCCAACUGGCAUCUAGACGCCGGGAUUUUCAAUUGGGGGACUUUCGCAUAUCAUGGAACUAUACGAGGAAACCCGGCUGGACAAAUUUUGUCACUGAUCACAUCUCCAGUGUUUUAUUCCCUACUCUGUCUCCUUCUGAAGAAGGAGAGAAACGUGCAAGUUUCCAGAGCUGUUUCUGAGCUGCAGGGCGAAAUCAAAGCGCCGGCAGAGUGGGCGGGGUUUACCCAGUCUAGAAAGCUCUAGAAUCUGUGGGAAAAAAGCGCGAAAGAAGCGGCACUUGAAUUUCUGACUCGUCGUCAGUGACAGAAAAGCUCAGCUAGAUAGCCAGGAGAAGAUUUUUCCCAACCGUGACCUCUGCCGGAGUUUCCAUCUUGGAAUCGCGGAUCCUUCACCAACUGCUUAUCGGGACUUCCAGAAAAUCAAAGAAUGAGUAAUGGACUCCAUUGAGAAGGCAAUACAGGCCGUGCUACCACAGCUAGAUGAAGCAAAGCUUGAAUCUUUAGUCAAUGAGUUGGUGAAAGUAGGUGUUGAAGGACCAGAUGAUCUGCAGUUUAUUCAAGAAGAUGACGUCAAACAUCUGCUCACACCCAUUCAGUGCAGAAAAAUUAUUCAUUCCUUGAAAGGAGGUCCUUCCAAUCCCCAGCUGAGCCCUUCAUCGUCUGAGCCACUGUCAGUUGCCUCUUCCAGCACAUGCCCCAUAUCAUCUAUCAGUCCUAUCUCUGCAUGGGUGAACAGUUUUGAGGUGCCAUGGAACAAAGUCAGGCUGACUCUUAGAAGAGCAGUAGAUGCUGGUGAGAGGCCAGCUCCGGAUGACCGCAGACACUUGAUAAAAGUCACUGUUGAUGCGAUGAGAGAG
Long non-coding RNA from Xyrauchen texanus (razorback sucker), 915 nucleotides. RefSeq lists it as uncharacterized. The record is from RefSeq and is a predicted model, not a curated record. The transcript is spliced from 5 exons. Lineage: Eukaryota; Metazoa; Chordata; Actinopteri; Cypriniformes; Catostomidae.